Molecule: ribosomal RNA, 460 nt
Filed under: uncultured bacterium
Lineage: Bacteria
Description: partial 16S ribosomal RNA
Rfam family: Bacterial small subunit ribosomal RNA
Source: RNAcentral
CCUACGGGAGGCAGCAGUGAGGAAUAUUGGUCAAUGGGCUCGAGCCUGAACCAGCCAAGUAGCGUGAAGGAUGACUGCCCUACGGGUUAUAAACUUCUUUUAUAAAGGAAUCAAGUGAGGCACGUGUGCCUUUUUGUAUGUACUUUCUGAAUAAGGAUCGGCUAACUCCGUGCCAGCAGCCGCGGUAAUACGGAGGAUCCGAUCGUUAUCCGGAUUUCUUGGGUUUAAAAGGAGCGUAGAUUGGGUGUUAAGUCAGUUGUGAAAUUUUGCGGCUCAACCGUAAAAUUGCAAUGGAUACUGGCAGUCUUGAGUACAGUUGAGGUAGGCGGAAUUCGUGGUGUAGCUGUGAAAUGCUUAGAUAUCACGAAGAACUCCGAUUGCGAAGGCAGCUUACUAAACUGCCACUGACAUUGAUGCUCGAAAGUGUGGGUAUCAAACAGGAUUAGAUACACCUGUAGUC